GUUUAUCUUCAGGGCAGGGUGUGAUUCCCGACCGGCGGUGAUAGUCCGCGACUCACGAGUGAUCGUGCUGAGCUGGUGAAAUUCCAGUGCCGACAGUAAAGUCUGGUAUGUAGAAGAUUAAA
Molecule: regulatory RNA element, 122 nt
Rfam family: FMN riboswitch aptamer (RFN element)
About the family: The RFN element is a highly conserved domain that is found frequently in the 5'-untranslated regions of prokaryotic mRNAs that encode for flavin mononucleotide (FMN) biosynthesis and transport proteins. This element is a metabolite-dependent riboswitch that directly binds FMN in the absence of proteins.
Source: Rfam